Molecule: ribosomal RNA, 448 nt
Filed under: uncultured bacterium
Lineage: Bacteria
Description: bacterial SSU rRNA
Rfam family: Bacterial small subunit ribosomal RNA
Source: RNAcentral
ACCAGACUCCUACGGGAGGCAGCAGUCGGGAAUAUUGCGCAAUGGAGGAAACUCUGACGCAGUGACGCCGCGUAUAGGAAGAAGGUUUUCGGAUUGUAAACUAUUGUCCACAGGGAAGAUAAAAGACUGUACCUGUGAAGAAAGCCCCGGCUAACUACGUGCCAGCAGCCGCGGUAAUACGUAGGGGGCAAGCGUUAUCCGGAUUCACUGGGUGUAAAGGGAGCGUAGACGGCCAUGCAAGCCUGGAGUGAAAGCCCGGGGCCCAACCCCGGGACUGCUCUGGGAACUGUGCGGCUGGAGUGCGGGAGGGGCAGGCGGAAUUCCUGGUGUAGCGGUGAAAUGCGUAGAUAUCAGGAGGAACACCGGCGGCGAAGGCGGCCUGCUGGACCGCGACUGACGUUGAGGCUCGAAAGCGUGGGGAGCAAACAGGAUUAGAUACCCCUGUACA